GGGAUUGCCCUAGUAACGGCGAGUGAAGCGGCAACAGCUCAAAUUUGAAAUCUGGCGCAAGCCCGAGUUGUAAUUUGUAGAGGAUGCUUCUGGGUAGCGACCGAUCUAAGUUCCUUGGAACAGGACGUCAUAGAGGGUGAGAAUCCCGUAUGUGACCGGCCCGCACCCUUUACGUAGCUCCUUCGACGAGUCGAGUUGUUUGGGAAUGCAGCUCUAAAUGGGAGGUAAAUUUCUUCUAAAGCUAAAUACCGGCCAGAGACCGAUAGCGCACAAGUAGAGUGAUCGAAAGAUGAAAAGUACUUUGGAAAGAGAGUUAAAAAGCACGUGAAAUUGUUGAAAGGGAAGCGCCUGCAACCAGACUUCGCGGCAGUGUUCCGCCGGUCUUCUGACCGGUUCAUUCUCUGUCGCGAGGCCAUCAUCGUCUGGGCCCGCCGGAUAAGACCUUAGGAAUGUAGCUCACCUUCGGGGGAGUGUUAUAGCCUAGGGUGAUGCGGCGAGGCUCGGGCGAGGUCCGCGCUUCGGCAAGGAUGAUGGCGUAAUGGUUGUCGGCGGCCCGUCUUGAAACACGGACCAAGGAGUCUAACAUCUAUGCGAGUGUUCGGGUGUCAAACCCCUACGCGUAAUGAAAGUGAACGGAGGUGGGAACCGCAAGGUGCACCAUCGACCGAUCCUGAUGUCCUCGGAUGGAUUUGAGUAAGAGCAUAGCUGUUGGGACCCGAAAGAUGGUGAACUAUGCCUGAAUAGGGUGAAGCCAGAGGAAACUCUGGUGGAGGCUCGCAGCGGUUCUGACGUGCAAAUCGAUCGUCAAAUUUGGGUAUAGGGGCGAAAGAUAAUCGAAC
Molecule: ribosomal RNA, 839 nt
Filed under: Septoria malagutii
Lineage: Eukaryota; Fungi; Ascomycota; Dothideomycetes; Mycosphaerellales; Mycosphaerellaceae
Description: LSU rRNA
Rfam family: Eukaryotic large subunit ribosomal RNA
Source: RNAcentral